Molecule: ribosomal RNA, 301 nt
Filed under: uncultured bacterium
Lineage: Bacteria
Description: partial 16S ribosomal RNA
Rfam family: Bacterial small subunit ribosomal RNA
Source: RNAcentral
CAGCCGCCACGGGAAUACGUAGGGUGCGAGCGUUAAUCGGAAUUACUGGGCGUAAAGCGUGCGCAGGCGGUUUCUUAAGUCUGAUGUGAAAGCCCCCGGCUCGACCGGGGAGGGUCAUUGGAAACUGGAAACUUGAGUGCAGAAGAGGAGAGUGGAAUUCCACGUGUAGCGGUGAAAUGCGUAGAGAUGUGGAGGAACACCGAUGGCGAAGGCAGCCCCCUGGGCCAAUACUGACGCUCAUGCACGAAAGCGUGGGGAGCAAACAGGAUUAGAUACCCCUGUAGUCCCUGUCUCUUAUACA